This 731-nucleotide ribosomal RNA is filed under the name uncultured Nitrososphaerota archaeon. RNAcentral describes it as "bacterial SSU rRNA". It matches the Rfam family "Archaeal small subunit ribosomal RNA", at positions 71 to 805 of the family's 1478-position model. Lineage: Archaea; Thermoproteati; Nitrososphaerota. The record is from RNAcentral.
GCAAUGCGUGGCAUACGGCUCAGUAACACGUAGUCAACAUGCCCAGGGGACGUGGAUAACCUCGGGAAACUGAGGAUAAACCGCGAUAGGCCAAGGUUUCUGGAAUGGACACUGGCUGAAACCUAUAUGGCCCCUGGAUUGGACUGCGGCCGAUCAGGCUGUUGGUGAGGUAAUGGCCCACCAAACCUGUAACCGGUACGGGCUUUGAGAGAAGGAGCCCGGAGAUGGGCACUGAGACAAGGGCCCAGGCCCUAUGGGGCGCAGCAGGCGCGAAAAUUCUGCAAUAGGCGAAAGCUUGACAGAGUUACUCUGAGUGAUGCCCGCUAAGGGCAUCUUUUGGCACCUCUAAAAAUGGUGCAGAAUAAGGGGUGGGCAAGUCUGGUGUCAGCCGCCGCGGUAAUACCAGCACCCCGAGUGGUCGGGACGAUUAUUGGGCCUAAAGCAUCCGUAGCCGGUCCUGCAAGUCCUCCGUUAAAUCCACCCGCUCAACGGUUGGGCCGCGGGGGAUACUACAGGGCUAGGAGGCGGGAGAGGCAAGCGGUACUCGAUGGGUAGGGGUAAAAUCCACUGAUCCAUUGAAGACCACCAGUGGCGAAGGCGGCUUGCCAGAACGCGCUCGACGGUGAGGGAUGAAAGCUGGGGGAGCAAACCGGAUUAGAUACCCGGGUAGUCCCAGCUGUAAACGAUGCAGACUCGGUGAUGGGCUGGCUUCGUGCCAACCCGGUGCCGCA